RNAcentral lists this ribosomal RNA (121 nucleotides) under Neogale vison (American mink). The record is from RNAcentral. Lineage: Eukaryota; Metazoa; Chordata; Mammalia; Carnivora; Mustelidae.
CCCUAUGGCCAUAUCACCCUGAACGCACCCGAUCUCGUCUGAUCUGGGAAGCUAAGCAGGGUCGCGCCUGGUUAGUACUUGGAUGGGAGAAAAAGGCAUCAAACCCUGGCCUCUGGAGACC